AUUGAACGCUGGCGGCAUGCUUUACACAUGCAAGUCGAACGGCAGCGCGGGCUUCGGCCUGGCGGCGAGUGGCGAACGGGCGAGUAAUGCAUCGGAAUGUGCCCAGUAGUGGGGGAUAGCCCGGCGAAAGCCGGAUUAAUACCGCAUACGACCUGAGGGUGAAAGCGGGGGACCGAAAGGCCUCGCGCUAUUGGAGCGGCCGAUGUCGGAUUAGCUAGUUGGUGGGGUAAAGGCUUACCAAGGCGACGAUCCGUAGCUGGUCUGAGAGGACGACCAGCCACACUGGGACUGAGACACGGCCCAGACUCCUACGGGAGGCAGCAGUGGGGAAUUUUGGACAAUGGGGGCAACCCUGAUCCAGCCAUGCCGCGUGCGGGAAGAAGGCCUUCGGGUUGUAAACCGCUUUUGUUCGGGAAGAAAUCCUCUGGGCUAAUACCCCGGGGGGAUGACGGUACCGGAAGAAUAAGCACCGGCUAACUACGUG
RNAcentral lists this ribosomal RNA (484 nucleotides) under uncultured bacterium. RNAcentral describes it as "partial 16S ribosomal RNA". It matches the Rfam family "Bacterial small subunit ribosomal RNA", at positions 28 to 507 of the family's 1533-position model. The record is from RNAcentral.